UCCCAUAUGGUCUAGUGGUUAGGAUUUGGCGCUUUCACCGCUAAGGCCCGGGUUCAAUUCUCGGUAUGGGAA
Molecule: transfer RNA, 72 nt
Filed under: Saccoglossus kowalevskii
Lineage: Eukaryota; Metazoa; Hemichordata; Enteropneusta; Harrimaniidae
Description: tRNA-Glu
Rfam family: tRNA
About the family: Transfer RNA (tRNA) molecules are approximately 80 nucleotides in length. Their secondary structure includes four short double-helical elements and three loops (D, anti-codon, and T loops).
Source: RNAcentral